UACGGGGGGAGCAAGCGUUGUUCGGAUUUACUGGGCGUAAAGGGCGCGUAGGCGGUCAGCACAAGUCAGUUGUGAAAUCUCCGGGCUUAACUCGGAAAGGUCAACUGAUACUGUGCGACUAGAGUGCAGAAGGGGCAACUGGAAUUCUCGGUGUAGCGGUGAAAUGCGUAGAUAUCGAGAGGAACACCUGCGGCGAAGGCGGGUCUCUGGGCCGAUACUGACGCUGAGAAGCGAAAGCAUGGGGAGCGAACAGG
Molecule: ribosomal RNA, 254 nt
Filed under: uncultured bacterium
Lineage: Bacteria
Description: partial 16S ribosomal RNA
Rfam family: Bacterial small subunit ribosomal RNA
Source: RNAcentral